UCACCCACCCACUUACAUUGA
RNAcentral lists this non-coding RNA (21 nucleotides) under Arabidopsis thaliana (thale cress). Lineage: Eukaryota; Viridiplantae; Streptophyta; Magnoliopsida; Brassicales; Brassicaceae. The record is from RNAcentral.